AAAUAUAGGGAAAAGCUAGGAUCAUUGUUGGAGAUGCUCUAAGCCCUGCCCUGCGCUGAAUUCCCCUACCCUUGCAAAAAUUGUAUUAAAAGACACAAGCAAUAGAUUAUGGCGGCGCCAGGGAGAGAAGAAACUUGGGCGGAGGUAGCGAACCGUCUAGGUUUGGAUUCGGUGACGGACGAGGAUUUGAAGGCGAAGAAAAAAGUGGAAAGAGCUACGAGAGGAGGGUGUACGAAGCGUGCGAGCCAACUCGCACCUGGUCGUCAAAUUUGUUUGCCCGCACUGCCCAGGGUUCGGAGGUCACGCGUCGUACGGCGCGCUGCUCGACCACGCGAGGGAGUAUUCCUCUGGCGCGGGGCGGGCUGCAGUGAAGGGCAGCCACAGGGAUCUGGUUACUUACCUCACCACUGCCCUCAGGAGGCUGGCUCCUGAUCAGUAGCUCUCAGUUUAGGAUUUGUAGGCCUAAGACAUUUUUAGCCUCGUUUGCGUGUUUAGUACGUGUACGUUUAGUAUGUUUUUUUUCCCCUCCCUUUUUCCCCCUUUGUAUCUUUGAUUGUAUCUAGUAAUGAAAUCUGUGUUUCGUGUUUCACUAA
Molecule: long non-coding RNA, 593 nt
Organism: Asparagus officinalis (garden asparagus)
Lineage: Eukaryota; Viridiplantae; Streptophyta; Magnoliopsida; Asparagales; Asparagaceae
Exons: 3
Source: RefSeq, a predicted model, not a curated record